This 411-nucleotide ribosomal RNA is filed under the name Verrucomicrobiota bacterium. RNAcentral's name for it is "Verrucomicrobia bacterium partial 16S ribosomal RNA". It matches the Rfam family "Bacterial small subunit ribosomal RNA", at positions 355 to 776 of the family's 1533-position model. The record is from RNAcentral. Lineage: Bacteria; Pseudomonadati; Verrucomicrobiota.
UGGGGAAUCUUGCGCAAUGGGGGAAACCCUGACGCAGCGACGCCGCGUGCGGGAUGAAGGCCUUCGGGUUGUAAACCGCUUUCAGCAGGGACGAGGCCUUAUGGUGACGGUACCUGCAGAAGAAGCUCCGGCUAAAUACGUGCCAGCAGCCGCGGUAAUACGUAUGGAGCAAGCGUUAUCCGGAUUCAUUGGGCGUAAAGCGCUCGUAGGCGGUCUGUUAGGUCGGCAAGUUAAAUCCGGGGGCUCAACCCCCGUCCGCUUCCGAUACCGACAGACUUGAGUUUGGUAGGGGAAGGUGGAAUUCCUAGUGUAGCGGUGGAAUGCGCAGAUAUUAGGAAGAACACCGGUGGCGAAGGCGGCCUUCUGGGCCAUAACUGACGCUGAGGAGCGAAAGCUAGGGGAGCGAACAGG